This 402-nucleotide ribosomal RNA is filed under the name uncultured bacterium. RNAcentral's name for it is "bacterial SSU rRNA". It matches the Rfam family "Bacterial small subunit ribosomal RNA", at positions 355 to 774 of the family's 1533-position model. The record is from RNAcentral.
UGGGGAAUAUUGGACAAUGGGCGCAAGCCUGAUCCAGCCAUGCCGCGUGAGUGACGAAGGCCUUAGGGUUGUAAAGCUCUUUUGGCGGGGAAGAUAAUGACGGUACCCGCAGAAUAAGCUCCGGCUAACUUCGUGCCAGCAGCCGCGGUAAUACGAAGGGAGCUAGCGUUGUUCGGAAUCACUGGGCGUAAAGCGCACGUAGGCGGACUUUCAAGUCAGGGGUGAAAUUCCGGGGCUCAACCUCGGAACUGCCUUUGAUACUGUUGGUCUCGAGUCCGGAAGAGGUGAGUGGAAUUCCUAGUGUAGAGGUGAAAUUCGUAGAUAUUAGGAAGAACACCGGUGGCGAAGGCGGCUCACUGGUCCGGUACUGACGCUGAGGUGCGAAAGCGUGGGGAGCAAACA